RNAcentral lists this ribosomal RNA (393 nucleotides) under uncultured bacterium. RNAcentral's name for it is "bacterial SSU rRNA". It matches the Rfam family "Bacterial small subunit ribosomal RNA", at positions 355 to 745 of the family's 1533-position model. The record is from RNAcentral.
UGAGGAAUAUUGGGCAAUGCCCGCAAGGGUGACCCAGCAACGCCGCGUGGAGGAUGAAUGUCGUAAGAUUGUAAACUCCUGUUGGAGGGGAAGAAUAGUACCGGUUGGACCGGUAUAUGACUGUACCCUCAGAGAAAGCCCCGGCUAACUACGUGCCAGCAGCCGCGGUAAUACGUAGGGGGCAAGCGUUGUCCGGAUUUACUGGGUGUAACGGGCGCGCAGGCGGGAUAAAAAGUCAGUGGUGAAAUCCUACAGCUUAACUGUAGAACUGCCUUUGAUACGUUUAUUCUUGAGUUCGGCAGAGAGAGACGGAAUUCCAGGUACAGUGGUGAAAUACGUAGAUAUCUGGAAGAACACAAGUUGCGAAGGCGGUCUCUUGGUCCGACACUGACG